GUAGUGACGGGAACGCGAGACGGGAUUGAGUUCAAGGGUUCGUCUGAGCUGAGAACGGGAUGAAGCUGAGACGGUAAUGCUUGCUGGAACGGAAUCAAGAACGAAUUAAGGUUCUUCGGGAUUAGGGUUCCAAAAGACCAAGGCGGCGCCGUCUAUUGUUUCUGCGAGUGUGCGCGCGUCUGAGAUCGGAUUGACAAACGGUUUUUGCCGAUAGAUUCGUCUUGUCCAGAGCUUCAAUUUGAUAUGUGGCUCGUUGUCUGGUUCCUCGGAGUUUGAGAGAUAGAUUGACUUUAAGUUACGCCUGGAUUAAGGUUUAUGUGUGACGGAUUUUAGGUUAGGUUUUGUCUCAGGGUUUUGGAGUCUAUCGUGCAGAUAACGUGUUGUGAAUGAAGAGGGGAACUUAUCUUUAUUAUUAGGUCAACCAACUGGUCUUUAUAUACAUAUGGUAAUGACGGUCUAAGUACUGGAUCGACAUGAGAUCGUACUUAUCCUUAACUAGAUAAUGACUAGCAAUACGUAAGAUAAACACCAACUAUAAUGUGGAUAAACACAAGAGUAGAUAGGCGCCAGUAUGAUCCUGC
Molecule: long non-coding RNA, 581 nt
Filed under: Brassica napus (rape)
Lineage: Eukaryota; Viridiplantae; Streptophyta; Magnoliopsida; Brassicales; Brassicaceae
Description: long non-coding RNA (BNAP_LNC026669)
Source: RNAcentral